RNAcentral lists this ribosomal RNA (407 nucleotides) under uncultured bacterium. RNAcentral describes it as "bacterial SSU rRNA". It matches the Rfam family "Bacterial small subunit ribosomal RNA", at positions 355 to 774 of the family's 1533-position model. The record is from RNAcentral.
UGGGGAAUAUUGCACAAUGGGCGCAAGCCUGAUGCAGCAACGCCGCGUGAGGGACGACGGCCUUCGGGUUGUAAACCUCUUUUGGCAGGGAAGAAGCGAAAGUGACGGUACCUGCAGAAAAAGCACCGGCUAACUACAUGCCAGCAGCCGCGGUGAUACGUAGGGUGCAAGCGUUGUCCGGAAUUAUUGGGCGUAAAGAGCUCGUAGGCGGUUUGUCGCGUCUGCUGUGAAAACCCGAGGCUCAACCUCGGGCCUGCAGUGGGUACGGGCAAACUAGAGUGCGGUAGGGGAGAUUGGAAUUCCUGGUGUAGCGGUGGAAUGCGCAGAUAUCAGGAGGAACACCGAUGGCGAAGGCAGAUCUCUGGGCCGUAACUGACGCUGAGGAGCGAAAGCAUGGGGAGCGAACA